RNAcentral lists this unclassified non-coding RNA (460 nucleotides) under uncultured Bordetella sp. RNAcentral describes it as "partial 16S-23S ribosomal RNA intergenic spacer". It matches the Rfam family "Bacterial small subunit ribosomal RNA", at positions 340 to 793 of the family's 1533-position model. The record is from RNAcentral. Lineage: Bacteria; Pseudomonadati; Pseudomonadota; Betaproteobacteria; Burkholderiales; Alcaligenaceae.
UACAGGGAGAGAUGACGCAGUGGGAAUUUUGGACAAUGGGGAAACCUGAUCCAGCCAUCCCGCGUGUGCGAUGAAGGCCUUCGGGUUGUAAAGCACUUUUGGCAGGAGGAAGAAACGGCGCAGGAUAAUACCUGAUACGGCGGCAGCCUGCAGAAUAAGCACCGGCUAACUACGUGCCAGCAGCCCCAUGACUGGCCACGUAAGUGCAAGCGUUAAUCGGAAUUACUGGGCGUAAAGCGUGCGCAGGCGGUUCGGAAGAAAGAUGUGAAAUCCCAGAGCUUAACUUUGGAACUGCAUUUUUAACUACCGAGCUAGAGUGUGUCAGAGGGAGGUGGAAUUCCACACGUGUAGCAGUGAAAUGCGUAGAUAUGCGGAGGAACACCGAUGGCGAAGGCAGCCUCCUGGGACACUGACGCUCAUGCACAGCGUGGGGAGCAAACAGGAUUAGAUACCCGGGUAG